RNAcentral lists this ribosomal RNA (253 nucleotides) under uncultured bacterium. Its description in RNAcentral is "partial 16S ribosomal RNA". It matches the Rfam family "Bacterial small subunit ribosomal RNA", at positions 524 to 776 of the family's 1533-position model. The record is from RNAcentral.
UACAGAGGGUGCGAGCGUUGUUCGGAAUUAUUGGGCGUAAAGGGCGCGUAGGCGGCGCCACAAGUCACUUGUGAAAACUCUGGGCUCAACUCAGAGCCUGCAAGCGAAACUGUGGUGCUGGAGUAUGGGAGAGGUGCGUGGAAUUCUUGGUGUAGCAGUGAAAUGCGUAGAUAUCAAGAGGAACACCAGUGGCGAAGGCGAGUCCCUGGACAACACCUGACACUGAGGCACGAAAGCUAGGGGAGCAAACAGG